UGAUUCACACAUAAUCGAGACUGUGGA
RNAcentral lists this small RNA (27 nucleotides) under Bombyx mori (domestic silkworm). RNAcentral's name for it is "ovarian small RNA-33044". Lineage: Eukaryota; Metazoa; Arthropoda; Insecta; Lepidoptera; Bombycidae. The record is from RNAcentral.